RNAcentral lists this transfer RNA (58 nucleotides) under Manacus vitellinus (golden-collared manakin). It matches the Rfam family "tRNA", at positions 9 to 63 of the family's 71-position model. Rfam says of the family: Transfer RNA (tRNA) molecules are approximately 80 nucleotides in length. Lineage: Eukaryota; Metazoa; Chordata; Aves; Passeriformes; Pipridae. The record is from Rfam by way of RNAcentral.
AGCUCAGUUGGGUGGAGCAUGGUGCUAAUAAUGCCAAGGUUGUGGGUUCAAUCCCCAU